RNAcentral lists this ribosomal RNA (253 nucleotides) under uncultured bacterium. RNAcentral describes it as "partial 16S ribosomal RNA". It matches the Rfam family "Bacterial small subunit ribosomal RNA", at positions 524 to 776 of the family's 1533-position model. The record is from RNAcentral.
UACGGGGGGGGCAAGCGUUGUUCGGAAUUACUGGGCGUAAAGGGCGCGUAGGCGGUUCGCUAAGUUGGAUGUGAAAACUCUGGGCUCAACCCAGAGCCUGCAUCCAAAACUGGCGGGCUAGAGUUCUGGAGGGGGUAGCGGAAUUCCUGGUGUAGCGGUGAAAUGCGUAGAUAUCAGGAGGAAUACCGAUGGCGAAGGCAGGUCUCUGGGCUGACACUGACGCUCAUGCACGAAAGCGUGGGGAGCAAACAGG